Long non-coding RNA from Corvus hawaiiensis (hawaiian crow), 6105 nucleotides. RefSeq lists it as uncharacterized. The transcript has 3 exons. The record is from RefSeq and is a predicted model, not a curated record. NCBI's taxonomy places the organism in Eukaryota, Metazoa, Chordata, Aves, Passeriformes, Corvidae.
UUUCGAGAUGUCAAAAUAUUUUGUUCGCCUUCAUUUCAUUGUAAGAGGAGCCUUAGGUGAGGCACCUUGGAUGGUGACUUCAGUUCACCUGGUACACUGCUUCACCCUGAAGGCAGCAUCCUGAAGUCAGGUACCUGAACAAGCUGGAGAGGGGCUUGUCACAAUACCUCAAAAGCAAUCCCCUUGGACAUGGUUAUAUAUAUUUCACUGUAAGUGAAAGGGAACAAAACAAAUAAAAACACAAUGAGACUCUUUCUCCACGCUGGUACAUUCUUCAAACUUUCUGCUGAGGAUUUCCAACAGCAUUUGUUGUCACAUGGUAAGGGCUCUGAAUGAAAUUAUUGAUGGUAGCUGGAAGAGAAAAAAAAAGGGGAAAAAAUGAAUGAAAUCCCUUGAGACAAAAGGUAUGUCAUGAACUUCUCCAAGUUAUUUUCAAGUGUUUCUGCCAGUAUCAAUAAAUCCCUCAAGUUUCAGGAUAGGCUACAUUAAUUACAGGAUGGCAUUAUGCAUUUAAAGGUUGCUGAAAGUUCUAUCUGUGAUCAGUCAUGUUUGAAUUGCAUGUUCACAUGAAAUAUUUUUUUUUAAAAUAUGUAGGCAUGCAGGCGAGCAGCGAUAGCCUCCACGAUGUUUUAAUAGGCUUUUAUUAGUCUGUACUUUCCUUGUAAUCUUGUUUUACAGUAUGUGCAUUCAAUGUGUUUGUGUCUGUGCUCUUCAUGCACACAUCGCAGGAUGCCAAAACAUCCUUCUGCUUCCUUGUUUCCAACCACUUAGUCAGGCACUUGAAUGCUUUCCAAAUCUUGUUAAAAAACAGCAAUAGCACUAUCACUUCUUCUUGUCAGAAUGUACAGAAAGGGACGGAUGGAGAAGGCAGUGGAAAGGUAAAGGAGGAGGCUGAAUGGUCAGGAACCCCUGGUGGGAGGUCUUCAUAGGUGAGCCCAGUAGAGCCACGGUGCCAUGAUGCCCAGACCUGAUUUGGGGCUUUCCACUGCCUCACUGUGGGGUUUUGGUUCGCUUGCUGGGUGAAAAAGCACUGCAAAGAUCCUCCUUAUACAUUACUUCUAAAUUUAAAAGUUUACAAAGUAAAAAUUCCCUGACUGAAAAUCAAAGAGUAUUUUUCUGUGCUGAUAAAGAUUAAUUCUAUUUCCAUAUUGAACUGUCUCUUUUUUCCUCCAGGAAAAUUUAACAUAACAUUCAAAUAGAGGUGUGUUUUCUUCUGAGUAAAAUAGAUUUAAAAGUCAACUUUAUUUUAGUCACUAAUUUUUCUGAAACUAAACUAACUAGACAGGCCAAACCUAGACUCAAUAAGUGCUACAAAUUUACACUUCUGGUGAGUUGAAAAUUGCUCCUGAGACUGUUGAAAGUGUUUCAGUCAGGUGCAGCCUUUCUGGGUUACACUGGGAUCAUGCAAUGCUGGUGGUCCUGGUAUGAGCUUUAAUUAACUGUAUGCUCACAACUGGAGGGAGCAGGGGAUGAUAGUUUCCCUUGGAUUGCUCUUGCAGAUGUAGAUUCUCUGAUGUCUACAGACAGUUGAGUUCAUCCCAUUGCUACUGGGGAAGGCAGACAUGGUUGCCUUGGUUGCCUGUCUCCAUGAGGGGGGAAUAUCUGACCAGUUUGGUUGCAGUCACACAAUGAAUUUAAAUGUGUGUUGAUGCAGGCGUACGCCCACACACCCACACACCCGCAUGGAUCGUGAUGAGCACCCAGCCCCAACAGCCUUUAGAAACCCAGAUAAAAAUAAUAUUACCUUAGAAAACUUAUGCUGUGUAUGAGUGAGAUGACUGCAGGGCUCCCACUACCUCCUGGGAGGGGCUGGGAUUUCAGCUUCAACUAAGUAACUUGCCAAGAAGUUGUGACACAGCCAUUGCAGGGUGUCCACACUACAGCCCACAGUUGUUCAUGGUCAGCAAAAAAAGCUGGUCAAAUAACAUUUAUCAGAGUGUUCACUUGGCCUAUGCCCCACAUUCUGAAUAACUUGUUUUACAGAUUAUUUUUUUCCCAAGAUGACAGGCUAAAUGCAGGACUUACUAAUAUAAUUCUCAAAAGCAGUCCUUUGUCAAGUCUUGGGAGAAAGUUUGAAGUCAAGUGCCAGGUUUCUCAUCAGAGCAGUGUCUGCGGUCCCAACCAGCUGUGUACUGCGGGAACACACAGCCGUGUGCCAAAACAUCUGCUCAUAGCAUCUCCUUGCAGACGUGGGCUCCAUCAUGUCAGGUAAGAGAUAUCCCAGGACUUGAGGUCGUGUGUUGGAUCUUCUUGCUCCUCCAAAAGGGAAGGACAUGGGUGAGCCUCUUCUGUUAAUCUACCUGUGCUUGGUGGAGCAAGGAUGGAGGACAAGUCAUGCAGGCUCACAUAAAACUGCAUUUUUCAAAUGAGUAGUGUCUUUUUAUUUUUCAGGAGAAUGACAACCCUGGUUACCUCAAGGCUGAUGCACUCUUGGAAAGUGAAAUAUUUAUGGUAAUAGUGAUGGCAGAGAAGAGGAAAUCUCUCUUGUAAGAAAACAUGGUGCAUAAACACACACCAUAGCUCAGGCCACAUCUUCAUUUCACCCAUAAGAAGUUUGUGCAAGUGCAGAAAAGCCCAGGUUUUUCUCUUGCCCCCACAAAGAAACAUAAUCUACAGUUUAUAUCGGAUGGUUUAUGAGAGUUUAUUGGAAUAUCCAACAAGGUUCAUGUGAUGUAUCAUAAGGUAAAGCCUGUUCAUUGGUGAUUUACAAGCAGUGUGUGCUGGUGUUACUGUAAUUUAUAGACCACAGAUGGUCAUGGGGUGCCCCUGCUGACUUGUAGCUGAAUAAGAAGCUGAGCCUUGUGUGUCAUCUGCUGCAGGUACCUCCGGCUCACUUCCCCAGAUUAGUGCUGAUCGAGAUCUGCCCUCAAACCCAGAGGGUCCCAAGACCUUUGCCUUGCAAGCUGGGGCUAUUUCAGGAGGGGAAAGGAUACAAAUGAUUAAGGCUGGGGAAAAAACCCCUAAGCCUAUCAGAAUGACACCAAAGGAAAAUUGCUUUUUACAAUAAUAACUUCCCUUCUCAAGGCUGGUACUUCACUUGAUGGGAUUUUGUCACCUGUUAAAUGGAAAAUGAAGAAUGUCAGUCACCCCCUUCAUAAGCCAGUCAAAGACAAACACCUGCUCUGCAAAAAUUUCUGUAUAUUCAUAGAUCUCCCUUGUAAUGACCCGUAGGAUAGGUCCUAUCUUUGUUGUCAUCAUUUUACCCUUUUAUGUAAUUACUCUUCAACUAUGUUUUACUAUGACUUUUUUUCAAGUUUACCUGUCUUUUCUUCUUUAAACCUUAUAAAAUAAUUACGUGUUUAUUCUGGCACCUCUUUCUGAUUCCCCAGGACUUUGAUUCCGGUGGGUGCAUGAGGCAGAGGGAGAACCUGACUGGCUGCACAUCUCACCCAAAUCUUUGGGAGAUUUACUGUCUUUGGCCAGGGGAUUGGGCCCCUUUUCACUUUUAAUUUCUCUGGUUGACAAAGUUCAUCACGUCACCUCAUAUUUCUCCCAGACGUGUUUUUGUCUUGCUGCGUGUGGCCUUGUCCUGCCCGCAGAAAUACCACGGUGGUCUCCGUCAGGAUCCAGCAGCCUUCGGAGGAACGUGCCAGAUCCAGGGACGCCUGGUGCUUGGCUUGCCUGCUGCAGCGAGGUCAUGCAUUUUAACAAGGCACUGCCGAUCCCCUUUUUAAAGGGCAUUGAUUAUGUUUUGUUAAAAUGGGCUUUGAACUCAGCUGACCCUGUGCCGGUAGGACAUUUCAGGGCUUUUUUUCUGCCUGGACCACACUUGACACCUGUUGGCAAACACAGCUGCAAAUGCUGCUGAGAGAAACCUGCAUCCGAGCUCAAAACUGAGUGGCUCAAUUUUUUCCCAGUAGUAAAGACAUAAGAGAAUUUGGUGGCUUCUCUAGUUAAUAAAGAGAGAAAAAAACCCCAAAUUUGUUUUUCUUUAUCAAGAUGAGGGAAAAAAGCACCCUAUAGACAAAAGAAGCAGAAGGAAAGCUGUAAUGGAAAUAAAACUGACAGCCUCUCAAAACUCAGGUGGCACUUUCCUUUUCCAGUUAAUUACAGUUUUAAUUACAUGGCUUCUUGUGACUCCUUGAUACCUAAUAAACUAGACUCUGUGGGGCGGCAAAGUUGAGUUUUGCUUGAACUGCAGGUGUAAGGCUCAGUAUGAAACAUAAAUCAACUUCUUAAACAUGUUCCCAUGGUGUGUUCAGGCUUUUUCUUCCUAUUUGCAUGUAAAAAUCACAUCUUAUCACCAUUGUUGGGUAAAAAAAAAAGAAAAAUAUUGAAGCUACAAUGGAGAAAGUAUUACCUUUGUGUCUUUGGAUAUAAAAUCCCCUUUUAUAGGGGAAAAAAAGAGAGUCUUUUAUUUUUUUAACCCCAGAUAUGACAAAUUUUAAAGGAGUGAUGCAUUACCUACAUAGACCCUCUCUCAUUAACCUUUUUUUGCAGGGGGUUGGGUGUAUAAGAUAGAAGAGGAAAGUUCUUUGGCAGGAUGAAAGCAAGGGGAGAUCAGUAUGUGGAAAUAAAGAAAUAUUCAGCCCAUAGGAGCUCUGUUUUCCAAACCUCUCCUGAAGGUUUGGAAAACAGAGUGUCUGUUUAUUCUUUGUGUAUUAUGCCAUGGAAAUGUGUUCUCCAGUCAGGCUCAAGCAUGUUCCAUAUAUUACCUCUGAGUGGGGUAACCUGCUGAUGACCUGUAGCAGCAAAAAGCUGGAGACAAAUACAGUCCAAAAGUUCACAUUGGUCUCAAUCCCAUGGGAUCUGAUAGGUCACAAGUCUGUGGCAGGAAAAUCUACUGUCAAGAUGGUCAGUGGAGAUUUCAGUGGAAGAUUUGCCCAUCUAUCUUUCCUCUUCCUCAAACCAAACAAAAUUGUUUUAAAAAAAGUGGGAGGAAGAAAACAGACAGUAGAGCUUCACAUAUGGCGUUUGGAUGGUGUAAAAUAUGAACAGAAAGGUUCAUGUGUGGGACAUGAGUGUAUCAACAAGUCCUUCUUAACCUGUAAGACUGGGAAGGGCUGGUUUUUUACUGUCUUGUUAGUUUUAACUUCAGCUUGUGAUUUGUCUGUUGAAGCAUUGGUUUUAAAUGAGUGCAAAAAAAGGUGUAUUUGUUAUGAGUGAAGAAGGAGAGCUCUGGGAAAUAGGUGCCCAGGUAGCAGUUUUUCAUGCCCAGUAGGGGGAAGAGCCCAAACAGGAAAAAUCAAAAUGUCCUGCUUGCCUUUCAACAAACAUAUUUAUUUCUGUUGUAUUCUCCCAUUGCUCAUUACCUGAAGCAGCACUAUCCAUGGCUGGAGCAAGUGUGCUGAAGUCAGCAGAAGGCCUUUCUUGCUCCUCCAAGGGCUUCCUGAUACCCACCUACUUCCCCCAUGGUACAUCCCAGCCUCAGACCCUGUUCCCUGAAAACCACUGACAUCUCACUGAUGCCCACAGUGUUCAGGGCCACCUGAGGGAACGUCCUAUAUAAAAAUGUUAUAUGACUUGGACAAAGCAGGCAGAUAUCAGCGUUAACUUCAAUAGAAAUCUUGCCUGAAAGAGUCUUCCUGCAGACUAGACUUGUCUGGUGUCAUUUCACCUUGAUGUCCUGUUGAUGACUAUUCUUGGUUGUUUAUUAUUGUUGCUGUUGUUUUUGUUGUUCUUGUUAAAGAUCAUAAUUUCUUUUUUCCCCCACAGUCUGGCUACCUCCUCUUUUUUGCAACUGCAUAUGCUUACCUGAACAACUCCACUUCCAAAUAACAGGUUUCUCUCGGAUUAAUAUUGUGUUCAAUCCCUUGGGUAUAACUAUCUUGUACUCUUGUUGUCUGUUUUUGCGCAGUGUUUGGGCAGUCCACAGCAAAAAUGUGGGGACCUGGACCAUGGUCUGCAAUUUCUGUAAGUUAUGUGGUGUAAGGAAAAUAAAAACCCAACCCAACAGCCAAGAGAGAAUUUUCAAGAUGAGAAAAAGAAUUCCUCCUACCUUCCUCCCAAAUAGUGUGUUUCAUCCUCUUUUUCAAUUAGUCUUGGUUUUAUUUUUGAAACCACACAAAGAGGCAAAUAUACUGUUUCAUAUAGUUUCAUAUAUGGUUUUUCAGAGUGGGAAAGGCAAGGUAAAAUUAAGCAAGCUAGAGAAAAGGAAGGAGAGUG